Molecule: ribosomal RNA, 363 nt
Filed under: uncultured bacterium
Lineage: Bacteria
Description: bacterial SSU rRNA
Rfam family: Bacterial small subunit ribosomal RNA
Source: RNAcentral
CAGAUGCUAAUACCGCAUAAACCUAACACCGCAUGGUGUAGGGUUGAAAGAUGGUUUCGGCUAUCACUUUAGGAUGGACCCGCGGUGCAUUAGUUAGUUGGUGAGGUAAAGGCUCACCAAGACCGUGAUGCAUAGCCGACCUGAGAGGGUAAUCGGCCACACUGGGACUGAGACACGGCCCAGACUCCUACGGGAGGCAGCAGUAGGGAAUCUUCCACAAUGGACGAAAGUCUGAUGGAGCAACGCCGCGUGAGUGAAGAAGGUUUUCGGAUCGUAAAACUCUGUUGUUGGAGAAGAAUGUAUCUGAUAGUAACUGAUCAGGUAGUGACGGUAUCCAACCAGAAAGCCACGGCUAACUACGUG